UCUGGUUGAUCCUGCCGGAGGCCACUGCUAUCAGAGUUCGACUAAGCCAUGCUAGUCAGAGAGUAAUCUCGGCACAAGGCUGAGUAACAUGUGGAUAAACUGCCCUUAGGAGGGGAAUAACCCCGGGAAACUGGGAAUAAUGCCCCAUAGGCAAUGGAUGUUGGAAUGCCCCAUUGCUGAAUCUUUCCUAAGGAUGUGUCCGCACCCUAUCAGGCUGUUGGUGGGGUAAUGGCCCACCAAACCUAAGACGGGUAGGGGCUAUGUGAGUAGGAGCCCCCAGAUGGGUACUGAGACAAGGACCCAGGUCCUACGGGGCGCAGCAGGCGCGAAAACUCCGCAAUGCCAGAAAUGGUGACGGGGGGACUCUGAGUGCUCCACUAUUUUGUGGAGCUUUUCGCUAUUGCAAAUAGAUAGCGGAAUAAAGGCCGGGUAAGGCUGGUGCCAGCCGCCGCGGUAAUACCAGCGGCCUAAGUGGUGGUCGGUUUUAUUGGGCCUAAAGCGUUCGUAGCCGGAACCUCAAGUCUUCGGGUAAAUCUAGCAGCUCAACUGUUAGAAUUCCGGAGAUACUGUCGUUCUUGAGACCGGGGGAAGGUGCAGGUACUUCUGGUGUAGGGGUGAAAUCCUCUGAUCCCAGAAGGACCACCUGUGGUGAAGACGUGCACCUAAAACGGCUCUGACGGUGAGGGACGAAGCCUAGGGGAGCAAACGGGAUUAGAUACCCCGGUAGUCCUAGGUGUAAACAAUGUUCGCUUGGUGUUGCAUACGCUACGUGCGUGUGCAGUGUCGGAGUGAAGACGUUAAGCGAACCGCCUGGGGAGUACGACCGCAAGGUUGAAACUUAAAGGAAUUGACGGGGGAGCACCACAAGGGGUGGAGGCUGCGGUUUAAUUGGAUUCAACGCCGGGAAGGGACGA
This 914-nucleotide ribosomal RNA is filed under the name uncultured archaeon. RNAcentral's name for it is "bacterial SSU rRNA". It matches the Rfam family "Archaeal small subunit ribosomal RNA", at positions 1 to 939 of the family's 1478-position model. The record is from RNAcentral.